GCGGACGGGUGAGUAAUACAUAGGUAAUCUACCUUCGAGCUUGGGAUAACCCGCGAAAGUGGGGCUAAUACCGGAUAAGACCACGUAACCAUGUUGCGGGGUAAAAGGUGGCUUAUUUUUUAAAUGAGCUAUCACUUGAGGAUGAGCCUGUGGCCUAUCAGCUUGUUGGCGGGGUAAAAGCCCGCCAAGGCUAUGACGGGUAGCUGGUCUGAGAGGACGACCAGCCACACUGGGACUGAGACACGGCCCAGACUCCUACGGGAGGCAGCAGUGGGGAAUAUUGGGCAAUGGGCGAAAGCCUGACCCAGCGACGCCGCGUGGGCGAUGAAGGCCUUCGGGUUGUAAAGCCCUGUCAUGCGGAAAGAACGACCCUGUGACGCAUACUCACAGGGAGUGACGGUACCGCAGGAGGAAGCACCGGCUAACUCCGUGCCAGCAGCCGCGGUAAUACGGAGGGUGCAAGCGUUGUUCGGAAUUAUUGGGCGUAAAGGGCGCGUAGGCGGUAAUGUAAGUCAGAUGUGAAAUACUUCGGCUCAACUGAAG
RNAcentral lists this ribosomal RNA (543 nucleotides) under uncultured Syntrophorhabdus sp. Its description in RNAcentral is "bacterial SSU rRNA". It matches the Rfam family "Bacterial small subunit ribosomal RNA", at positions 98 to 618 of the family's 1533-position model. The record is from RNAcentral. Lineage: Bacteria; Pseudomonadati; Thermodesulfobacteriota; Syntrophorhabdia; Syntrophorhabdales; Syntrophorhabdaceae.